GUCUGCUCUCGGCCUUUUGGCUAAGAUCAAGUGUAGUAUCUGUUCUUAUCAGAAAGUCUGCUCUGGGUCUCUGACUUCACAGAACCCAA
Molecule: small nuclear RNA, 89 nt
Organism: Oryctolagus cuniculus (rabbit)
Lineage: Eukaryota; Metazoa; Chordata; Mammalia; Lagomorpha; Leporidae
Gene: U2
Rfam family: U2 spliceosomal RNA
About the family: U2 is a small nuclear RNA (snRNA) component of the spliceosome (involved in pre-mRNA splicing). Complementary binding between U2 snRNA (in an area lying towards the 5' end but 3' to hairpin I) and the branchpoint sequence (BPS) of the intron results the bulging out of an unpaired adenosine, on the BPS, which initiates a nucleophilic attack at the intronic 5' splice site, thus starting the first of two transesterification reactions that mediate splicing.
Source: Ensembl